GCCCAUGUGGCUCAGUUGGUAGAGCAUGGUGUUUGCAACGCCAGGGUUGUGGGUUUGAUUCCCACGGGGGACC
This 73-nucleotide transfer RNA is filed under the name Salmo salar (Atlantic salmon). It matches the Rfam family "tRNA". Rfam says of the family: Transfer RNA (tRNA) molecules are approximately 80 nucleotides in length. Their secondary structure includes four short double-helical elements and three loops (D, anti-codon, and T loops). Further hydrogen bonds mediate the characteristic L-shaped molecular structure. tRNAs have two regions of fundamental functional importance: the anti-codon, which is responsible for specific mRNA codon recognition, and the 3' end, to which the tRNAs corresponding amino acid is attached (by aminoacyl-tRNA synthetases). tRNAs cope with the degeneracy of the genetic code in two manners: having more than one tRNA (with a specific anti-codon) for a particular amino acid; and 'wobble' base-pairing, i.e. permitting non-standard base-pairing at the 3rd anti-codon position. Lineage: Eukaryota; Metazoa; Chordata; Actinopteri; Salmoniformes; Salmonidae. RNAcentral also lists the same sequence under 1 other name. The record is from Rfam by way of RNAcentral.